ACUUCAACCUUCACUUGCCAGGCUAAAGCAAUUCUUCUGCCUCAGCCUCCCAAGUAGCUGGGAUUACAGGAACUGACCUCACAAUGACUCAAGCUACCACUUACUGUUGAUUGUGAUGAAAUGCCACCUGAGGCAUAUGCCGUGUGAGCUUAGGGGUGCUACAUUUGACCAUGAUGGCAGUAAAGAUGACUCUGAAGAAUGGCAUGGGAUGGAUCCCUUUGAAUGCACUCAAGCAGGGGUCUCCAACCACAGGGCCACAGAGCCAGAGCUGGAUCUACCGUGAAAGACUUCAGAAUCCAGGAAGAGAGACUGACUGGGCAACAUGUUAUUCAGGGUCUUGCUCCAUUGUCCAGGCUGGAGUGUAGUGGUGCCAUCACAGCUGACCGUAACCUCAGCCUCGCAGGCUCAAGCCAUCCUCGCACCUCAGCCUCCCAAGUGGCUGAGACUAUAGAUGCUUGCUACUAUGCCCAACUAAUACUUGGACUUUUCCUAUAUGUGGGUUCCAGAGAGCUGAAUGUGAAACGUGAGUAUGCAUGGAUUUUGGUAUAUGCAGAGAUGGGGAGCUGGAACUAAUCCUCUCUGUAUACUGAGGGAUGACUGUAUAUAUUUUUACAAUUAUGCUGUAGGGCACAUAUUGUUCCAUAGCCUUGAAAAUGAUAAUUUUAAUGAAAAUUAUUUUUAAUUGAGUGGAAUAAUAAUAAUAAUAAUAAAAGUAGCAGCUGGACAGGUGUGGUGGCUCACACCAGUAAUCACAACACUUUGGGAGGCUGAGGUAGGAGGAUGGCUUGAGGCCAAGAGUUUGGAAACCAAAGGAAUCACCAUCCCUACAGAAAAAUACAUGAAUUAGCCUAGUGUGGUGGCAUGUUCCUGUAGUCUCAGCUACUUGGGAAGCAGCUGUGGGAGGAUCACUUGAGCCCAGGGAGGUUGAGACUGUAGUGAGUCAUGAUCAGGCCUCUGCACUCCUGCCUGGAUGACAGAGUGAGACUCUGUCUCAAAACAACAAAAAAGUAGCAGCUAACAUGAACUGACCUUUUACUAGGUGCCUAUAAAUACCAUAAUAUAAUUUCUUAUAACUGUUUCUUAUUUCACUUAACCACUCUGUCUUCGAUUACUCCCAGAAUUUCACAGUGUUUAUGCAGAUGACCUUUUGUUUAGAUUGAAUUGUCUCCCAAGGUAUUUCCAGAAGUGAGAUUACUGUGAGUCAUGGUGAAUGGACAUUCUCAUUGCCCUUGAUGUAAAUUGACAAGGUUUUGGGUGCCUCCUGGCUAUAAUCCCAGCACUUUGGGAGGCUAAGGCAGGAGGAUUGCUUGAGGCCAAGAGUUGGAGGAGGCAGUAAGGUGAGACCCUGUCUCUAUUAUUUUAAAAAAUUGCCAAGCUUUACCCUGGAAGGCUUAGGUACAAUUUAAACACCCCUCAUAGUAUAAGAAGGAGUCCAUUUCACUGCACCUUUGCCAGCACAGGGUAUUAUAAUUUAAUAAGUUAUUUUUUGUUUGAUUAUUUUAAAUAGAUAAAAGACCUCAUAUUACUUUGUCACAUUUCAACAUCUUUCUUAGCUUAUUAGCUCUAUUUCUUUUCUGUCUGUAAAUGGUUGUUGUGGUGGUGGUUUUGUUUGAGGCAGGGUCUUGCUGUGUCCCCCAGGCUUGACUCUAGUGUCAUAAUCAUGACUUACUGCAGCCUUGACCUCCCAGGAUCAAACUAUCCUUUUGCUUCAGCUUCCUGAGGAGCUGGGACUACAAGUGUGCACCACCACUCCCAGCUAAUUUUAUUCUUUUUCUGGAUAGAGACAGGGUCUCACUGUGUUGUCCAGGCCAGCCUCUAGCUUCUGGCCUCAAGCAGUCCUCCUGUGUUGGCUUCUUAAAUUGCUGGAAUUUCAGGCAUGAGCCACCAUGCCUGACCAGGGCUAGUCCUACAUUCUCUAGAGUUCUCUUUACUUUGUGCUAGCCAGUCUCUCAUUAUGUUGUUCCCCUGUUAAAAUGAAUAAUUCUCUGUAUUAAAUUUUACAUACUUUAAAUUUUUGAGUGGUUUACGUUUCCUGAUUAGACUGUGAUACGCUAAGAAGGGUCCCUGGAGAUAGACUCACACAGAUGGGAUUUGGACAUGAGUUUGGUUAUCCAAGGGACUAUACUGAGCUCCUUGCCAGUGGAAAAUGGGAUGCUGGUGAUUUCCAGAAAGUGACCUCACAGUGACUCAAGCUACCACUUACUGUUGAUUGUGAUGAAAUGCCAGCUGAGGCACAUGCCUUGGGAGCUAAGUGGUUCUUGCACUUGACCGCUAUGAAGACUGUUGUGGGAACAGUCCUUUUGGAUGUACAUCAGCAGGGGUCCUCAACCCCUGAGCCACGGAGCUAUAAGGAGCCACACAGCAGGAGAUGGGACCGUCUUGUUGCAGGAAAACAAGCUUAACAUGCCC
This is a non-coding RNA of Chlorocebus sabaeus (green monkey), 2409 nucleotides long. Lineage: Eukaryota; Metazoa; Chordata; Mammalia; Primates; Cercopithecidae. The record is from RefSeq and is a predicted model, not a curated record.